Molecule: long non-coding RNA, 238 nt
Filed under: Vigna radiata
Lineage: Eukaryota; Viridiplantae; Streptophyta; Magnoliopsida; Fabales; Fabaceae
Description: long non-coding RNA (VRAD_LNC018280)
Source: RNAcentral
CCUUUUCGCCGAGGGAUCGGGUUAAGGGGAGGCUAAGAAAGUCGCAUAACAAUUAAUUAAUCAAACUAAUAUUCAAGAGGAGUAGGUAAGAGAGAGCGAAUUAGAUGAAAUUGUGAACCCCCAACAACAUUCAUUCAUCCAUUGUUUUCUUUUUUCAAUUGAAUCAACUUUAUUUUGCAUGUUAAUAUUUUUGUUAUCAAAUCCAAUUUAUUAAUUUUUAUUUUCAAGUCUUAUUAUU